RNAcentral lists this ribosomal RNA (490 nucleotides) under Aspergillus sp. BAB-5546. Its description in RNAcentral is "eukaryotic LSU rRNA". The stretch from base 106 to 259 matches the Rfam family "5.8S ribosomal RNA". Lineage: Eukaryota; Fungi; Ascomycota; Eurotiomycetes; Eurotiales; Aspergillaceae. The record is from RNAcentral.
UCGUGGCCGCCGGGGGCUCUCAGCCCCGGGCCCGCGCCCGCCGGAGACACCACGAACUCUGUCUGAUCUAGUGAAGUCUGAGUUGAUUGUAUCGCAAUCAGUUAAAACUUUCAACAAUGGAUCUCUUGGUUCCGGCAUCGAUGAAGAACGCAGCGAAAUGCGAUAACUAGUGUGAAUUGCAGAAUUCCGUGAAUCAUCGAGUCUUUGAACGCACAUUGCGCCCCCUGGUAUUCCGGGGGGCAUGCCUGUCCGAGCGUCAUUGCUGCCCAUCAAGCACGGCUUGUGUGUUGGGUCGUCGUCCCCUCUCCGGGGGGGACGGGCCCCAAAGGCAGCGGCGGCACCGCGUCCGAUCCUCGAGCGUAUGGGGCUUUGUCACCCGCCUCUGUGGGCCCGGCCGGCGCUUGCCGAACGCAAAUCAAUCUUUUUCCAGGUUGACCUCGGAUCAGGUAGGGAUACCCGCUGAACUUAAGCAUAUCAAUAAGCGGAGGAA